RNAcentral lists this long non-coding RNA (1514 nucleotides) under Portunus trituberculatus (swimming crab). RNAcentral's name for it is "uncharacterized LOC123510081, transcript variant X3". Lineage: Eukaryota; Metazoa; Arthropoda; Malacostraca; Decapoda; Portunidae. The record is from RNAcentral.
AUAAGCAAACAUUAAAUAAUGAUUGCUUGGAAAAAAAUCAUAAAAACUAAUAAAUGAUUUUGUUAAAGAAAAUCGAAAAGGAGUUUAAGGGUUCUGUUUUGAUGUUGUACUUGCUUCUAUAGACACCUUCACAUUAUAUUGGAAUGAUUAGCUCCUUUAGGAUGUGAUCGGAGCCCUUAGGAAAUGAAUUGUGGAAUAGAGAACAUUGUUAUUUCAUUAUUCUAUCAUCGGUUAAAGAAAUAAAGGUACGAGACAACUAUUCAUUUUUUUUUUAUAUAGUUUCAUACCUCUUUUUAUAAAUUGGCACCUGAGUAGGUUACCUUUUCCUAUAUUAUUGUUACUUUAGACUGUGCUUCCCUCAUAUAAACACACACACACACACACACACACACAGCAGCAGCAGCAUACAACGCGCAUGCACAACCAAAUGCAUCAAAUCCUUAACACUGAAGUGUUUGGGAACACCUGGCAAGAUACAACAAAAGCAUUUCCCGAGAAUUGCUUCAAAGUUCUUUUAAUCAAUUUUGUGUAAGCGUUGGUGUCAGAGAAUAUAAACAACAUUCCUUGGUAUAAUAAAUAAAACCUGCUACCUGCGAUUUCAUUGUCACUGUUUCCCUUGGCCUUUCAACAGUGCGCGCUGUGGCUCCGUGCAGUGAGUAGAAGCUGAAGGGAGGACUUGAUUGUUUUUCCUGACACACAAAUCUGGUGCAAUGCGGCCCGCGGUGUUGGUGUCGGCGGUGAUGGUGGUGGUUCUGCUGAUGGCCCGCCCCCUUACGUCGACCAUAAUUAGCAAUAUCCCUCCAGGGUGCCCCUUUGGUCGUAGUCCAAUCUGCGGAACUGAUUUGGUGACGUACAGUGACUUCUGCUCCUACUUCGAAGCACAUUUACGCAACCCUAAUAUCAAGAUGCUGCACGUGCUCGAAUGCACACCAGAAGACAAUAAUGGAUAAGAAAGGAGAUCGGAGGAGACUUUAAAGGUUCUGUUUUGGUGGUGUAUAUGGCUCUAUAGACACCUUCAGAUUGUAAUGGAUUGAUUAGAUCCUUUUCUGUGUGAUCAGCAGAGUCCUUACUAAAUUGUGGAAGAGAGAAUAUUGUUAUUUCAUAUUUCCAUCACCACUUACAGAAAUAAAGGUACACGAGACAUUUAUCCUUCAUUUUUAAUAUAGGUUCUUAUCUUUUGGGGGCAUUGGCAUCUCAGAGGAUCAUUAUUUUUCUAUAUAGUUGUUGCUUUAGUUUCUGCUCGUCUGAUAUAAACACACACACGCUCACACACACACACACACACACACACACACACACACACACACAUGUACGCAGGAGCAGCAGCAGCAAGAAAUACGUUUUGAACUCAUGGACAUUAAUUGCCAGGAUUGGACCACUGGAUGCAAAACAAAAUCACCAAAUUAACAGAAAAUCAAUUAUCAAUCUCAUUAACAAAACUGUAAUUCAAGGUACAAACUUGAUGUAUAUAUGAAAAAACGUGCGAGUGAACAAAAUAAAUGUAAAGAAACUAA